AGGGCUGUAGCGCAGAGGUCGACGCAUCGGACUUCGGAUCCGAAGAACGCCGGUUCGAUUCCGGUCAGCCCUG
Molecule: transfer RNA, 73 nt
Filed under: Dactylosporangium vinaceum subsp. matsuzakiense
Lineage: Bacteria; Bacillati; Actinomycetota; Actinomycetes; Micromonosporales; Micromonosporaceae
Also listed under: 1 other name
Description: Dactylosporangium matsuzakiense tRNA
Rfam family: tRNA
About the family: Transfer RNA (tRNA) molecules are approximately 80 nucleotides in length. Their secondary structure includes four short double-helical elements and three loops (D, anti-codon, and T loops).
Source: Rfam by way of RNAcentral